AGUAAGACACUUAUGUUGCUAAGCAACGGGUGAAAGUCUCAAACAAGAUUUCAUAUGAAUCUUUUAUAAAGUGAGGAAAGAAAGCAUCAGCAAGUAUGAUACAAAUUUUGGCAUGGCAACAUGCGUACUUCAUCAAAUUCAUACAAGACUACAAAGUCACAGAUGGAAUUCAAGGAUUUAUAUGAUCCCUUACAAUGCUUAGCAACGUGAGAAUUGCAAUCUUAAGGGAAUACGGUGCAAUCUUUCUCAAGAAUAUCAUACGGAGUUUUCCCUACUCCGAUCUUGCCAUCACGUAUUUUAUCGCGAUUGUCGUGUGUUAGAGGGAUUGUCAAGAGAACCGACUCAGAUUGAGGUCAUUGGAGGCUAUUUAGUUGGUGUUUUUUUAUACGUUGCAAGGUUGGAGAACUUUCCGUUAGCGAGAUUAGAGCAGUUUUGAUUAUUGAGGUAAUCAAAGAGACAAUGUCAAGGCGACGACGCAAAAUUUGGAGAGCUUGAAUAUAUUUGAUGUCGUUAUACCGGGUUCUACUUUCUUAACUUUAUUUAUUAUUUGUUUCUCUAUUACGGGCUUAUUAUUUUCUUAUGAAGUCUUAAAUUCUAUGAAUGAUAGGGUAAAUAUCUCAUAAAAGCGAUUACCUCAAAAUAUAUCAUGUAUGCAUCAUGUUAAUUAUUAUUAAAAAUAGCAUAUUUAAUGGUUAUAGUUGUUAUUAUAUGAAAAAAUGCAAAUAAUUAGUUGGCAUAUAGAUAUGUCACCUACAUGAAAUUAUGUGAAUUUUAAUUUCAAGAAGUAGAGUGACAUGAAGUAUAUUAUUUGAGAAGAAUUAUCGCUACACUUAA
Molecule: non-coding RNA, 834 nt
Organism: Nicotiana tabacum (common tobacco)
Lineage: Eukaryota; Viridiplantae; Streptophyta; Magnoliopsida; Solanales; Solanaceae
Source: RefSeq, a predicted model, not a curated record